Molecule: ribosomal RNA, 436 nt
Filed under: uncultured Anaerovorax sp.
Lineage: Bacteria; Bacillati; Bacillota; Clostridia; Peptostreptococcales; Anaerovoracaceae
Description: partial 16S ribosomal RNA
Rfam family: Bacterial small subunit ribosomal RNA
Source: RNAcentral
ACGGAAGGCAGCAGUGGGGAAUAUUGCACAAUGGGGGAAACCCUGAUGCAGCAACGCCGCGUGAGCGAUGAAGGCGAUUUCGUCGUAAAGCUCUGUCCUUGGGGAAGAAACAAAUGACGGUACCCUUGGAGGAAGCCCCGGCUAACUACGUGCCAGCAGCCGCGGUAAUACGUAGGGGGCAAGCGUUAUCCGGAAUUAUUGGGCGUAAAGAGUACGUAGGCGGUUUCCUAAGCGCAGGGUCUAAGGCAAUGGCUCAACCAUUGUGCGCCCUGUGAACUGGGAGACUUGAGUGCAGGAGGGGAAAGCGGAAUUCCUAGUGUAGCGGUGAAAUGCGUAGAUAUUAGGAGGAACACCAGUGGCGAAGGCGGCUUUCUGGACUGUAACUGACGCUGAGGUACGAAAGUGUGGGGAGCAAACAGGAUUAGAUACCCUGGUA